This 253-nucleotide ribosomal RNA is filed under the name uncultured bacterium. Its description in RNAcentral is "partial 16S ribosomal RNA". It matches the Rfam family "Bacterial small subunit ribosomal RNA", at positions 524 to 776 of the family's 1533-position model. The record is from RNAcentral.
UACGUAGGGCGCAAGCGUUGUCCGGAAUUAUUGGGCGUAAAGAGCUCGUAGGCGGUUUGUCGCGUCGGCUGUGAAAACCUGGGGCUCAACCCCGGGCCUGCAGCCGAUACGGGCAAACUAGAAUUCGGUAGGGGAGACUGGAAUUCCUGGUGUAGCGGUGAAAUGCGCAGAUAUCAGGAGGAACACCGGUGGCGAAGGCGGGUCUCUGGGCCGAUAUUGACGCUGAGGAGCGAAAGCGUGGGGAGCAAACAGG